Long non-coding RNA from Gossypium arboreum, 1608 nucleotides. RefSeq lists it as uncharacterized. NCBI's taxonomy places the organism in Eukaryota, Viridiplantae, Streptophyta, Magnoliopsida, Malvales, Malvaceae. The transcript has 4 exons. The record is from RefSeq and is a predicted model, not a curated record.
AACCAUAAAUUAAUAAAAAACAAACCAAAAAGAGGAAACCUAAAAAAUAUCUACCCCAGUCAAUGUAAGAACUGCUGGAUACCACUAAAUUCUUGAGUUGUCGUUUCAAAAUCCCAUCCGUUCUUAUCAGUAGCAGUUUCCAAAAACCAAAAUAAUCUAUACCUGCUACCAUCCUUUGAUAAUCUAUUUCCCUCAAAAACUCUUUCAGUCUGGGUUCCUUUGCCAGUGCCUCCCAGAAGCAAACUCGUGCCGAUUCAAAUCUUCUCCCAUCAGGUAAGUGGACUCCCUUCCAACAAGCGCAGUUUUUGCUAUUCUAUGUGCUUAUGAGUUCCCCGAUCUGUGAAUAUGCUGAAAAAUAAUCUCUUGAAAACACCUUUUUCUGUUCUGGAUGUCAUUGAUAAUGGCUCCAAUCACUGAUUUAUCCGGUGAAGUCGUUUGGGAUUUCUUAAUAAUUGUUUUAGAGUCUCCCAUGAUUGUUGCCGAUUGUAAACCUAGUGAAAUACCUAAUUUUAUACCCUCUAAACAUGCAUGUGCUUCUGCUGCAAAUGAGGAGGAAAUAUUGUUGUGAAUGAUGGACUUUAAGGCCAUGAGAUUCCCCGUCAUAUCGCGAACCACCAGACCCGUCGCAGAUGUGAAGCUACUACUAUCAAAUGCUCCAUCAAAAUAGAUCCUCGUUCUCGGCAUGUCUUCUUAGACUCUAAAAGGUCUGUUCAUAUUUACAGGUCUUUUCAUUUUUCUGACCACUUCAUGUUCUGACAGAGACCUCUGUAUGCUUUGCGCUAACUCUCUAUUGGUUGUGUUUUUCCUUUCAUGCACGAACUGAUUCCUGGAGAACCAUAUUAGCCAUAAAGUAUAACAAAAAAUUCUACAUUGGAUGUCGUUUCCUCUCUUAAAAACCCAGUUGCAGGACAGUCACGGAAGAAAUGGGGGCUAUCUUCUACCCAGGAACAACCUCGGCGGCAUCCAUCAUUUGAAAUUACUCUUUUGUACUGGAGAUUAGCAAAAUUCGGGAUAAAAUCCCUGGAGAUUCUCCAAAUAGUGAUUGUAAUUUUAGGGGGUAAUUGUAGGCUCCAUAACUUUCUGUAAAAGUCUUUCAUUUCGGUCUGUAAUAAAUAAUUCCUAGAACCCAGGCUAGCAUUAUAAGCACUGCGUACCGUGAAUUCACCCGAUAACUCUCCUUGCCAAACUUACGUGCCUUCAUGAUCGGUCUCUGCGAGAGGGAUCUGCAAAAUCUUCUGAGCAGCUUCCUCUUAAAAGAAUCCAGCUAUCUUCCCAUAUAGAGAUCUUAUCUCCUCUGCCCACUCUCCAACCCAGCCCUUUUAGGAGUAGUCCCCUUGCUGUCCAAAUACUCUUCCAGGUGAGUGAAGGUUUGAAGGUCAGAACUCAGACGACAGACUCCACUUGCAAAAAUAAAGCGAUGAAGAAUCCCUUAAAUUGAACAAGAAAAAAACAGACAAAAAAACUAAGAUUAAACUUAAAAAACCAAAUGACUCAUGCUAGCGGCGGCAGACACAUUUGUGCUAGGGUAGCAGACCUAUUAAUUUGUAGUUUUGUUGAAACUAUUUUUAAUACAUCAAAUCCAAGCUUUCAUAUAGUAGAUAUACUAAA